UUCGCCCUUUUCCGGUUGAUCCUGCCGGAGGCUUCUGCUAUCGGGAUUCGAUUAAGCCAUGCGAGUCGAGAGGGUUCGGCCCUCGGCUGACUGCUCAGUAACACGUGUAUAACUUGCCCUCAGGUAGGGGAUAAUCUCGGGAAACUGAGGAUAAUACCCUAUAGACAUCCUUUGCUGGAACGCUUGUAUGUUCAAAGGUAACGCCUGAGGAUAGGUCUGCGGCCUAUCAGGUUGUAGUGGGUGUAAUGGACCCACUAGCCCGCGACGGGUACGGGCCUUGAAAGAGGUAGCCCGGAGAUGGGACUCUGAGACACGAGUCCAGGCCCUACGGGGCGCAGCAGGC
Molecule: ribosomal RNA, 343 nt
Filed under: uncultured archaeon
Lineage: Archaea
Description: bacterial SSU rRNA
Rfam family: Archaeal small subunit ribosomal RNA
Source: RNAcentral